Harpegnathos saltator (Jerdon's jumping ant) is the source of this 1424-nucleotide RNA transcript. RefSeq lists it as uncharacterized. NCBI's taxonomy places the organism in Eukaryota, Metazoa, Arthropoda, Insecta, Hymenoptera, Formicidae. The transcript has 6 exons. The record is from RefSeq and is a predicted model, not a curated record.
UCCACCGACAACGUCGACAAUAACGACGACGACGACGACGACGACGACGACGACGACGUUGCACCGCGAGGCGAGAACAGCCGGUCGGCGCAAUCUCACCAGUUUCCGCAACGAGACCGCGAGAGAGGCUUUCCCGCGACUUUUCUGUCUUUUGGUAGAACACGUGGCCGGCUCGCGCGCGUUCGGCUGUCGCCGGACGCGAUCGGCUCCGCCGCCGUCGCCGCUGCCAUGCGAUAACCUGUAUUAUCGAUCGCGCGUGCCGCAGUUCCGCAUGGCGCGUUAAGCCAAUCGCGGCGACUGGAUAGCCUCGAAUAAUUUACGUCGACCGAUUCCUGUCCGGCGAGUUCGAUCUCGCCAAUGAUCGGCAUGUGAACCGAACACGGCGGCACGUAGGUUCAACGUUUAUCGUCGUAUCGAGUACGCGUCUGUGCUCGCGGCAAACCGAUCGACCGCGUCGCUGCGAGCCCCACGCUCGCAAUUUGAAUGCGGUCUCUGCGGAACGACGCUGCAGCCACGUGAUCGCCGCUUGAUCGAGGCGACCACGCGGAAAAUAGAGGAAUGAAGAGAUUCAUCCGGUGACCUCGUGACACGCGCGGUAAUGCUAUUGGCAAGCGGUACCGCCUCGAUACCGACCAUCACCGGCGUUGUCGAGGAGGAAGAAUACGCACGCAGCGAGGCCAACAGCGCGCAUUACGAUGGAUACGUUACCGAUCACACUGAUCUUGCCUCAGAGAUCGACAUCGACGAGUCCGAGUACAGACGGGAGCUGCUUAACGAUAAAUGGCGAACGCUCUUCGACAAGUUCGAUCCGGAGGGUUUCGGAGAAAUACCGCUGGAGGAUUUUUUGGCAGCUCUGAGGAGUCCCGAAUGGAAGGCGGAGAUACCAACGAACAAACGUGACAUACUUCUCGCCAGGGCGAAGGAAUCACACGUUCAGGCAGUGACUUUCCAGGAUUUCGUCAAUGUGGUAGUGGUGAUGGUUGCUACUACUGCUGCUGCUGCUGCUGCUGCUGCUGCUGCUGCUGCUGUCGCUCGUAACCCUUACGAGUCCAGGUGGGUCCGUGGCUGUCGGUAACAAGAUAUGGGGGUGGUUGGAAGAGAAAACGGCGACGGGGGAGGCAUGAGAGGCGUUCCGAGCGAAGGAUAGUGAAGUCUGCACUUAGCAUUUACAAGCGGAAAGCCGAAAAGCCUUUCGCAAGGACGUCUUGCCGUGAAUACGUACUUCCUUCCGCGAUCCAUUAUGACACGGCAUGUGUGUUGGUCUUUGUCGACUUUGUCGAACGAGCCACGUGAUUCUGCUUUAAUAUUAUUUUUCAGUCGAUCGAAAAGUAUACUAUUAACGGCAAUAAAUUAAAACUCUAUUCAAGUUGACGAGUUUAACGAGACUACGAGAAAGGUAAAACGAAUGUAGCAUCAAUGUAUGU